UUAUGGCUCAGGAUGAACGCUAGCGGCAGGCUAACACAUGCAAGUCGAGGGGCAGCGGGUCUAGCAAUAGAUGCCGGCGACCGGCGAAAGGGUGAGUAACGCGUGAGCAACGUGCCCGUAUGUGGGGGAUAGUCGAUGGAAACGUCGCGUAAUACCCCGUAACACAUUUGGCCGCAUGGCCUUAUGUUGAAAGAUUUAUUGCAUACGGAUCGGCUCGCGUGCCAUUAGGUAGACGGCGGGGUAACGGCCCACCGUGCCGACGAUGGCUAGGGGUUCUGAGGGGAAGGUCCCCCACAUUGGAACUGAGACACGGUCCAGACUCCUACGGGAGGCAGCAGUGAGGAAUAUUGGACAAUGGCCGGAAGGCUGAUCCAGCCAUGCCGCGUGCGGGAAAGACGGCCCUAUGGGUUGUAAACCGCUUUUGCGGGGGAGCAAUAAGAGUCACGUGUGGCUCGAUGAGAGUACCCUGCGAAUAAGCAUCGGCUAACUCCGUGCCAGCCGCGGC
This 505-nucleotide ribosomal RNA is filed under the name uncultured bacterium. RNAcentral's name for it is "bacterial SSU rRNA". It matches the Rfam family "Bacterial small subunit ribosomal RNA", at positions 17 to 518 of the family's 1533-position model. The record is from RNAcentral.